RNAcentral lists this microRNA (22 nucleotides) under Anolis carolinensis (green anole). Its description in RNAcentral is "aca-miR-5397-5p". The record is from miRBase by way of RNAcentral. Lineage: Eukaryota; Metazoa; Chordata; Lepidosauria; Squamata; Anolidae.
UACGCAGAAGUUUGCUUCAUCA